AUACGUAGGUGACAAGCGUUAUCCGGAUUUACUGGGCGUAAAGGGCGUGUAGGCGGUCUUGCAAGUCAGAAGUGAAAUUCCUGAGCUCAACUCGGGCGCUGCUUCUGAAACUGCAGGACUUGAGUGCUGGAGGGGAUAGCGGAAUUCCUAGUGGAGCGGUAAAAUGCGCAGAUAUUAGGAAGAACACCGGUGGCGAAGGCGGCUAUCUGGACAGUAACGGAAGCUGAGGCGCGAAAGCGUGGGGAGCAAACAGGAUUAGAUCCCCUGGUAGUCCACGCCGUAAACGAUGAAUACUAGGUGUAGGGGGUAUCGACUCCCUCUGUGCCGCAGUUAACACAAUAAGUAUUCCGCCUGGGGAGUACGGCCGCAAGGUUGAAACUCAAAUGAAUUGACGGGG
RNAcentral lists this ribosomal RNA (397 nucleotides) under uncultured bacterium. Its description in RNAcentral is "partial 16S ribosomal RNA". It matches the Rfam family "Bacterial small subunit ribosomal RNA", at positions 523 to 918 of the family's 1533-position model. The record is from RNAcentral.